This 234-nucleotide long non-coding RNA is filed under the name Nicotiana benthamiana. RNAcentral describes it as "long non-coding RNA (NBEN_LNC012233)". The record is from RNAcentral. Lineage: Eukaryota; Viridiplantae; Streptophyta; Magnoliopsida; Solanales; Solanaceae.
UUUCAUAUUAUUAGAGAUAAGCUAAUUAAUCUUGUCACUAGGUGAAAUCAUAUGAGCAUAUAGAAAACAGAAACACACUGAAAUCUCAAACUAAUAAACACAUAGGAUUGAAUAGGGUAGUAAACAGUAAAGCAUGCUAGUUGAGAAAGCAGUAAUAGAAGAACAUGCUGAGGUUGAAAUAAGCUAUAAAAUAGAAUGACAUAACAGGAACUGAAACAUGCUAGUUGAGAAAUG